This 468-nucleotide ribosomal RNA is filed under the name uncultured bacterium. RNAcentral describes it as "partial 16S ribosomal RNA". It matches the Rfam family "Bacterial small subunit ribosomal RNA", at positions 28 to 507 of the family's 1533-position model. The record is from RNAcentral.
GACGAACGCUGGCGGCGUGCUUAACACAUGCAAGUCGAACGGAAAGGCCCUGCUUUUGUGGGGUGCUCGAGUGGCGAACGGGUGAGUAACACGUGAGUAACCUGCCCUUGACUUUGGGAUAACUUCAGGAAACUGGGGCUAAUACCGGAUAGGAGCUCCUGCUGCAUGGUGGGGGUUGGAAAGUUUCGGCGGUUGGGGAUGGACUCGCGGCUUAUCAGCUUGUUGGUGGGGGAGUGGCUUACCAAGGCUUUGACGGGUAGCCGGCCUGAGAGGGUGACCGGCCACAUUGGGACUGCGGUACGGCCCAGACUCCUACGGGAGGCAGCAGUGGGGAAUAUUGCACAAUGGGCGGAAGCCUGAUGCAGCAACGCCGCGUGCGGGAUGACGGCCUUCGGGUUGUAAACCGCUUUCGCCUGUGGCGAAGCGUGAGUGACGGUAAUGGGUAAAGAAGCACCGGCUAACUACGUG